UUUAAGCCCACAGGACUGCUGAACAUCAAGGUGCCAUGCCGAUGCAUCCAUCAUGUUCUCAGAAGAUACAGUCGUUACAAUUACACGUUAAGUGAACCAAAGGAAUUUUCCACGCAUCGCCUCCGUUCAACUUUGAGAUCCUUACCGUCCACUGCACAGGAUGUAUCGUGUCCUUGGACGUAGCAUGCGUGUUUAUCUCAUUUCCCAAUGUUUUUCCACGCAGUUUGAGGAUACAGGGCAGGAAACAUCGAAGGACACUAUAGAACGCCCCACCCAACACAAACAAAGGAGUAACAGGUUGAUGCAAUACUAUGUUUUAAAUGAGAUUAAAGGUUGGCGUUUUCCCCCUUUAAAAAUAAUGACAUUCACUGACACAUGUUGUAUUUUGUUUCCGAAUUCAUCACUUUGCAUUUAGUUACUGAAAUUUUCUCCAGAUGACCUUUCCCUCAAUUUGGCUGAGACGCUUCAGAGGAACCCCAAAAUAGCUGGCACCAUUGUUACAUUCUGUCUGCAUUUCCAAUUAAACGUGUGUUACAGCAU
Oreochromis niloticus (Nile tilapia) is the source of this 540-nucleotide long non-coding RNA. RefSeq lists it as uncharacterized. The record is from RefSeq and is a predicted model, not a curated record. Lineage: Eukaryota; Metazoa; Chordata; Actinopteri; Cichliformes; Cichlidae. The transcript is spliced from 2 exons.